This 481-nucleotide ribosomal RNA is filed under the name uncultured bacterium. Its description in RNAcentral is "partial 16S ribosomal RNA". It matches the Rfam family "Bacterial small subunit ribosomal RNA", at positions 28 to 507 of the family's 1533-position model. The record is from RNAcentral.
GACGAACGUUGGCGGCGUGCUUAAUACAUGCAAGUCAACUGAAGCAGUGGUAGCAAUAUCGCUGUGGAGGUGGCGCACGGGUGAGUAACACGUAGGUAAUCUGCCUUCAGGUCUGGCAUAACUCCGGGAAACCGGGGCUAAUAGCAGAUGAUGCAGCGGCUCGACAUCGAGACAGUUGUUAAAGCUAUGGCGCCUGAAGAUGAGCCUGCGUCUGAUUAGCUAGUUGGCGGGGUAACGGCCCACCAAGGCAACGAUCAGUAGCUGGUCUGAGAGGAUGAUCAGCCACACUGGAACUGAGACACGGUCCAGACUCCGACGGGAGGCAGCAGUAAGGAAUAAUGCUCAAUGGGGGAAAUCCUGAAGCAGCAACGCCGCGUGAGGGACGAAGGGCUUUUGCUUGUAAACCUCUGUAGUGAGAGAAAAAAAUCCCAAUCUUUGGGACAUGAUGGUAUCUCAAAAGUAAGCCCCGGCUAACUACGUG